Molecule: unclassified non-coding RNA, 394 nt
Filed under: soil metagenome
Description: partial contains 5.8S ribosomal RNA, internal transcribed spacer 2, and large subunit ribosomal RNA
Rfam family: 5.8S ribosomal RNA (bases 1-122)
Source: RNAcentral
GAUGAAGGACGUAGCGAAAUGCGAUACCUGGUGUGAAUUGCAGAAUCCCGCGAACCAUCGAGUCUUUGAACGCAAGUUGCGCCCGAGGCCACCCGGCCGAGGGCACGCCUGCCUGGGCGUCACGCCAAAACACGCUCCCACCCCCCCUCACCGGGGGAGCGGGACGCGGCGUCUGGCCCCCCGUGCCGCGAGGCGCGGUGGGCCGAAGAUCGGGCUGCCGGCGUACCGUGCCGGGCACAGCGCGUGGUGGAUCUCUACUCGGCGCAGUGCACCCGGCGCGUAGCCGGCGCAGCGGCCCCUAAGGACCCAACGAACGGAGCGCGAGCCGCUCCGACCGCCACCCCAGGUCAGGCGGGACUACCCGCUGAGUUUAAGCAUAUCAAUAAGCGGAGGA